UGUUGAUCCCAUGUUGAUCCCGUGUUGAUCCCAUGUUGAUUUGCUGCUCCUCCCGUGUUCAUCCCAUGUUGAUCCCGUGUUGAUCCCAUGUCCAUCCUGUGUCCAUCCCAUGUUGAUCCCGUGUUGAUCCCGUGUUGCUUUGCUGCUCUACUCUUGUCCAUCCCAUGUUCAUCCCAUGUUGAUUCACUGCUGCGCUCAUCUCAAUCCCCUGUUAAUCCCAUGUUAAUCCCAUGUUAAUCCCAUGUUGGUUCACCCCUGUGCCUGCCUCCACCCCGUGUCAUCCCGUGUUCACCCCAUCUUCAUCCCAUCUCGAUCCCAUGUUCAUCCCAUGUCAAUCCCAUGUUCAUCCCGUGUCAAUCCCAUGUUCAUCCCAUGUUCAAUCCCAUGUUAAUCCCAUGCCGGUCCCAUGUUCAUCCAUGUAGAUCCCAUGUUCAUCCAGAUUGGGCCCAUGUUCAUCCCAUGUAGAUCCCAUGUUCAUCCAGAUUGGUCCCAUGUUCAUCCCAUGUAGAUCCCAUGUCCAUCCUGUGUUGGCUGCUUCGCGGUCACGUGACCUUCCCGUGUCCGUCCCGUGUUCACGGCCUCUUGGUCACGCGUGUCGUCUCAUUGGCGUGUCGGUUCCGUGUCAGCACUUAAUCACAUUUUUUUCACGUGUCCAUCCCGUGUUCAUCCCAUGUCCACCCCACAUUAAUUCCACCUCAAUCCCGUGCUAAUCCCAUAUUCAUCCCAUGUUAAUCCCAUGGUAAUCCCACGAUAAUCCCACGGUAAUCCCAUGU
This 773-nucleotide long non-coding RNA is filed under the name Numida meleagris (helmeted guineafowl). RNAcentral's name for it is "lncRNA (ENSNMEG00000002337.1)". Lineage: Eukaryota; Metazoa; Chordata; Aves; Galliformes; Numididae. The record is from RNAcentral.